RNAcentral lists this ribosomal RNA (305 nucleotides) under uncultured bacterium. Its description in RNAcentral is "bacterial SSU rRNA". It matches the Rfam family "Bacterial small subunit ribosomal RNA", at positions 337 to 658 of the family's 1533-position model. The record is from RNAcentral.
UCCUACGGGGCGCAGCAGUGGGGGAUAUUGCACAAUGGGGGGAACCCUGAUGCAGCGACGCCGCGUGGGCGAUGGAGUACUUCGGUAUGUAAAGCUCUAUCAGCAGGGAAGAAAAAAGACGGUACCUGACUAAGAAGCCCCGGCUAACUACGUGCCAGCAGCCGCGGUAAUACGUAGGGGGCAAGCGUUAUCCGGAUUUACUGGGUGUAAAGGGAGCGUAGACGGCAAUACAAGUCGGAAGUGAAAUACCCGGGUUCAACCUGGGAACUGCUUUGGAAACUGUAUGGCUGGAGUGCUGGAGAGGG